UACGGGGGGGGCAAGCGUUGUUCGGAUUUACUGGGCGUAAAGGGCUCGUAGGUGGCCAAUUAAGUCAGGCGUGAAAUCCCCAGGCUCAACUUGGGAACUGCGUCUGAUACUGGUUGGCUUGAAUUCGGGAGAGGGAUGCAGAAUUCCAGGUGUAGCGGUGAAAUGCGUAGAUAUCAAGAGGAACACCUGCGGCGAAGGCGGGUUGCUGGGCUGACACUGACGCUGAGGCGCGAAAGCUAGGGGAGCGAACGGG
RNAcentral lists this ribosomal RNA (253 nucleotides) under uncultured bacterium. RNAcentral's name for it is "partial 16S ribosomal RNA". It matches the Rfam family "Bacterial small subunit ribosomal RNA", at positions 524 to 776 of the family's 1533-position model. The record is from RNAcentral.